Adelges cooleyi (spruce gall adelgid) is the source of this 335-nucleotide long non-coding RNA. RefSeq lists it as uncharacterized. Lineage: Eukaryota; Metazoa; Arthropoda; Insecta; Hemiptera; Adelgidae. The transcript has 3 exons. The record is from RefSeq and is a predicted model, not a curated record.
UACAACUGUAUAAAAGUGAUUUCAAAAUACCAUCUUAUGUUGAAACAAAAAAAAAGUUUCCAGCCGCUGCUACUUAUACUUCAAACUUUUAAAUGGAAGACUAGUAGUUCAGAUUUCUGCUGAAAAGUAUUACAAUAAUAUUAAAUACUUGGAGUGAAUCAUGAAGAUUAACCUAGAAUACGACCAUGGACUUAUUGUUUGGGGAAAAUUGACCCGAAAAGAUAAAGCAUGGGCUGCUAUGAUUCUAUCAACGAAGAAAUUGGAUCUAAUUUUUGAAGAAAAAAUUGGAUAUUCUUGGGUUUGGUGGUUUAAUCACGAUACGUUUUCACAUGUAA